GUGCAGGGUGGUACAGUGGGUAGAGCUCUGGUCUCCUGAGCCUUUAGCAGUGGUUCGAUUCCACUUGCAUG
This is a non-coding RNA of Dallia pectoralis (Alaska blackfish), 71 nucleotides long. The record is from the annotation of a GenBank genome assembly. Lineage: Eukaryota; Metazoa; Chordata; Actinopteri; Esociformes; Umbridae.